CCGGCAAUAUCAUAUUGAAAAACCGGUUCCCAUACGAUCACUAAAGUCAAGCAACACCGAGCCUGGUUAGUAUCUAGAUGGGUGACCGCUAAGGAAUACCA
Molecule: non-coding RNA, 101 nt
Organism: Acanthosepion pharaonis
Lineage: Eukaryota; Metazoa; Mollusca; Cephalopoda; Sepiida; Sepiidae
Source: the annotation of a GenBank genome assembly